AGACUUACUUGGCAGGGGAAAUACCAUGAUCACGUAGGCAGUUUUCCUAGGACAAGGCUUAUCAUUCCACUCCAGUUCUGCUAUCCUCUGAGGUUUCCCCAAAUGUGGGAAACUUGGCUGCAUAUUUGUAGCAAUGGGGGAACUAUUUUCCCACU
Cricetulus griseus (Chinese hamster) is the source of this 155-nucleotide small nuclear RNA. Its record names the gene U1. It matches the Rfam family "U1 spliceosomal RNA". From Rfam's summary of the family: U1 is a small nuclear RNA (snRNA) component of the spliceosome (involved in pre-mRNA splicing). Its 5' end forms complementary base pairs with the 5' splice junction, thus defining the 5' donor site of an intron. The record is from Ensembl. NCBI's taxonomy places the organism in Eukaryota, Metazoa, Chordata, Mammalia, Rodentia, Cricetidae.